GCACAAGCGAGGAACAUGUUGGUUUAAUUCGAUGAUACGCGAGGAACCUUACCUGGGCUUAAAUGUAGAGUGCUAUUUUUUAGAGAUAGAAAUUCCCUUCGGGGCUUUCUGCAAGGUGCUGCAUGGUUGUCGUCAGCUCGUGCCGUGAGGUGUCGGGUUUAAGUCCCAUAACGAGCGCAACCCUUAUCGUUAGUUGCCAUCUGGUAAUGCAGGGGACUCUAGCGAAACUGCCACCGUAAGGUGAGAGGAAGUGGGGAUGACGUCAAAUCAGCACGGCCCUUAUGUCCAGGGCUACACACGUGUUACAAUGGUCGGUACAGAGGGCAGCUACCUGGUGACAGGAUGCUAAUCUCGAAAACCGGUCUCAGUUCGGAUCGAAGUCUGCAACUCGACUUCGUGAAGCUGGAUUCGCUAGUAAUCGCGCAUCAGCUAUGGCGCGGUGAAUACGUUCCCGGGCCUU
Molecule: ribosomal RNA, 460 nt
Filed under: uncultured Sphingobacteriales bacterium
Lineage: Bacteria; Pseudomonadati; Bacteroidota; Sphingobacteriia; Sphingobacteriales
Description: bacterial SSU rRNA
Rfam family: Bacterial small subunit ribosomal RNA
Source: RNAcentral